RNAcentral lists this unclassified non-coding RNA (253 nucleotides) under Melitaea cinxia (Glanville fritillary). RNAcentral's name for it is "misc RNA ENSMCXG00005007703.1". Lineage: Eukaryota; Metazoa; Arthropoda; Insecta; Lepidoptera; Nymphalidae. The record is from RNAcentral.
GUGAAGAACCUAAACCGAUUGUCGUUACAAAAACCGUUUGUGAAAUUAUCGAACGCCUAAAAGAUCGCGGUAACGAAGCCCUUAGUAAUUAUUAUACUGCUUCAACUGCUUGCUCCCUUUAUAACCAGGUUGUUGCAGAAACGAUGCAAAAUUUCUCGAUACCAACGUUAAAGGAACUGCGCGGUCACAUGAUAGAGCGUUUAAAUUUAGUGAAGGAAUCGUUAAAAAAGGCAGAAGAGGCAACUGCUGAUAU